UGCAAUUUCAUCUUCUGGUCAUUUACAUCAGAUCCAAGCCUAUACAUCACCUAGAUUUCUGUCUAUUUCUAAGUAUUCUACAAAUUUGCAUCUGAAUCAGCACAAAGAACGAAUAGAGGUAUGUCCUCAUCACUUCAAAUGAUUUCAGAAUUACUUUAUCGUUUUUCUUGGCAUUUUACGAAAUUUACAGUCAAUACAUGAUCAUAAACAAAAUUUUCGUUUCUUUCUCUUUCUUGAUUGGCAAGUUUGUUUACCAAAGAUCUUUGAAAUGAUACUCUAAUUGUGCCUGUUUUUGGUAAGAUGUUAUAAUCUAUGUAUGUUACAGAACGUAUGGAUGGUACUUUUGAUUCCUAAGAAAUGUGGGGAUAAAAGGUACUUUUGACGAGAAGUUAUAAUUGUUUACCUAUGUACAGAUCAUAAUUCAAAUAAAUCAAUCAAUACUCCAAAAGUCUAGAUCGCAUAACAUAUACAAGCACACAUAUAAAUGAUGCAUCCAAGUGUAACUAACUACACUUGUGUGCAAACUAAGAAUAGACUUGUUAAUAUUAGUCUAUCCAUAAUCCAUCCAAUAUGAACUCUCAAAAAUAUCAAAGUAGUACCCACGAAAAUACCAUAAAGAUAAACCCAAAAUAAGUCAACGGAUGUAUUCAUGAAACAGUGGGUGUGCGAUCGACAUAGAAAGAGGAAAAGAUACCAUAGGGAGCUCGAUUUGAUUAGGCCGAGUGAGGCCAAGUGUAGCCCGAGCAAUUGAGUGAGCCAUGCGCCUUGUUCGUUUGGAAAAGAGAGGUGUGGCUGUAAGAGAAAUACCCCUAAUGGGACCAAAUUGCAACUUGGUGAAAACUGAGGAAGAAGCGGCAGCAGCAGAAGUAGAAGCGAGGAGGGUUAGCGAUGACGCACUAAUGGUAGCCAUCGUUACGUGUGCCAGCCUUUAUGUAUUUAUAGCAGUAGAACGAAUAUAGAUAAAUGUAACGCUUAAACUUAGAAGUCGGACUCAUAGCGAGUGUGUAUAACUGAGUGAACGGGAAAUGGAUCGUAGUUUUUGUACUGGGGAUGGAUACGGAUGUUAAAUGGGUAGAGUUGAGCCGUUUGGCUCAAUCAUGUUUGGUUCAGUUCGAUCACGCUUGAUUGACUCGUUUUCAAAAAUUCUGACUUGGCUUGUCGUUGCGAGUUUUUUCCAACUUAAAAUUGCAUUUUUUACUACUUAAUGAUAAGUUGGCUCACGAGCUGAUAAGUGACUCACUUGAGAUUUGCGUUUGUAAUGCAAGCAGACAAAUGACACGUUCUACUUAAUACCUCUAGAUUUUGAAUGAUCGGUGCACCCACAUGCCAAAAUGUUUGAGAGUUGGUAUUGACACAAUAAGGCAAUGUACUAGUUGUCUUUGUAGGAACUAAUGCCUUGAAAUCAAUCUGGUUAUUGAACUAGAGAAAAAGAAGAGAAAAGUUAAAGGGUUGGUUUGGUUGAGUGGAUGGUAAAAACGUAUAAGAAAAAUAAAAUUUUGAGGUUAAAAAAAUUAGUUUACUAGUGAACCAGUUAACAUUUCAUGAACGGGUCGACUCUUGACUUGUUUUAAACAAUUUUAUUUUUUCAAAAUUUUUGGUAUAAAUUAGACCGAUAUUCUGGAUGGAUUGGGCUAAUUUGGUCCGAUUUUCAAAACAUUGGUAUUAACCAUAUAAUUUAGAGCAUGUUUAAAUUUCUUCUACAAACGAAGCGACUUAGUACAAAAUAGAUAUAUGCCAAUAAUGGCGAUAAAGUUAAGUCUUACAUGACUACUACACAUAACAUAAUGUUUCAAGGUGAAAAAAGUCUCGUCCUAUUUGAAAUCGUGUUUGCAUCAAAGAUUUGAUUGAACUUGAUUCAGUUAUUGUUCCUGUAAUAGUGAUCUUUCACAAUGGUGACAUUUACUAUGGUGAUGAAUAUUUGCAUAAUGGUUCAAAGUAUUGGACUGUGAAUUACACAUUUAUAGAAAACUAUUUCAAAUAAACUUCCAAAAUAGUUCAUCCAUCUAGAUAUUUAUGAGCAUAUGAUUGUAUGUUUCUUUAAGAGAUACACAAGUAACAGUUGAAGGGGUAUCUGUUAACACCUGAAUUGUUUGAUGGGCCUAUGACAAAAUUUGAAUUACAUUUUUUCAAGCAGAGGAGAAAGUAAUUGGAGAACAUUUGUUGGAGUCGGAAAAUGUAUGCGCUCGAUAAACUAGUUGAGCUAUAGGGGAUUGCCUCUAGCUUUCCAUUCAAGUGGAAACUAUCUACUUCCUCCAAUGAAUACAAGAAGUGUAUCAUCAUGAGAUAUCCAGAGGAUGACGAAGAGCAUAAAUUUUCAUGAUGAUUUGACAUAUCUGCAAAUAAGAAGUGGAUAGAAGUAAUAGAAGAAGUGAUCGAGUCAAGAAAUCCAGACAAGUCAAGGAUUCGGUGGAUGUUCUUACUAGCUAACAAAUUUUGGAGAAUAAUGUGAGUUUUGAAAUUAGAGCACAAGGCUAACGAGUCUAUUACUAACUUCAUUUUUGGACAAAAGAAUGAAAAAUUGAAGCGAGAUUUACUUUUGGACGAUUAUAUUAACCAUAAUAGUAGGUUGUAUUUAGAGUUGCUCCAAAUAGAUUUAGAGACUAUAUUUCAUUUUUCAAUGGGGAAUUUGUUCAAGAGAAUUGCACAAAUGAUUUGUAGAUUUCAGUUUUAAAGUCCAUAAGAACUGUAUCAUAACUCUUAAUAGUUAUAUUUAUGGCAUGAAGUAAUUAUCUUGAUAGUGGUACUGAAAUUUGACAAGCUUAAAUUUCGUACAAUUUUAUUAUGUAGAUAAAGAUCACUGUAUUUAUGGGCUGAUUUCAACGGGAUCUCGUAACAAUCCAACUAAUGAAAUUAUUUGUUGAUUCAUGAAGUAUGACACGCAUGUGGAGAAGUGCUAUUAUUUUGUCAAUAAAUGUAGCAUGUUUAGAUAGGUUUGUAAUUAAAUUAAGAAUAAUGUUAUUUGCAAUCACUCACUAUUUUAGUAAUUGUAAUCAUCUUACGUGACAUACAUGUGACGAUUAAUGAUUUGAUACAUAAGUCAAUAAAAAACUACCACAUUCAUACAUCAAAUUAUUAACUGUCGUAUGUAUAUCAUGUAAGAUGACUAUAACAGUAAGUGAUUACAAAUAACAUUGCUCUUAAAUUAGUCUCUACUUGAACUCCUUUUUUUCAAAAUUUAUUUACAAUUACACAUUCUCCCAUAAAAUAAUUUCAUAUAUAAAUUUAAAAUUUUUUUCUACUUUUUAAUCACAUAUUCUCUAAAAUGUCACUAUUUGAAAAUACAUUUCUCCCACAAAUUAAAUGGGUUUAAAGAAGGGCUUAAUAAAACAAGAUAUUAACAUUUUUUUUUUUUGACCUUUAAUUUUGUGCUGUACUGUACACCUUCUCACUGUGUGUAAGAGAGAAUUGUUUGGGAGCCAAGUCCUCUAAAUAAAGAAUAACACUAUCUAGAAUUAUUGAUUCUACAAUACCAUUUUAGGUGGAGUUAAGCCCUCAUAUAGUAUAAAUUAAAAUUUUAAUUUUAAUUUAAAUCAAAAUUAAUAAUUAAUUUUAACCACAUAUUUUGUAGGAUCCACAACAUUUCAACCAUAUAUUUCAACAAUUUUUAUUGAAAUCUACUAAAAAUUUAAUUUUAAACCCCACCAAACAGGAACUAAAUGCUAUGCUUAAUAAAAGAUAUAAUUAAAUUAUUCAUUUAAUUAUACCUCUAGUUAAAUGUAACGGUACCAUCACCUAAGCAAGGUAUGAAUCUAAACUCAUGUUUGGUUUUAAUUAAAUCUGAUUUUAGUUUAAAUCAAAAUUAAAUAAUUUAUAUUAACCAUACUUUCAUAAGUCUUAUAAUUUUUCAACCAUACAUUUUCAAAAUUUCAACCAUAAUUUACUAAAAAUAUAAUUUUAAUUCCCAUCGAAUCAUCGCCGGUUGAUGAAUGUCGAAGAAGAAAAGUCAAAUUAAGUCGACUCAUGUGUCUCUUUUGUGUCCACUGCCACACAGAAUUUCUCUCUCCUAAGCAGCCUUUUUAGACAAAGUCCAUAAAAGGUCAAAGCAACUUGCUAACCACUGCAAUUUCAUCUUCUGUCAUUUACAUCAGAUCCAAGCCUAUACAUCACCUAGAUUUCUGUCUAUUUCUAAGUAUUCUACAAAUUUGCAUCUGAAUCAGCACAAAGAACGAAUAGAGGUAUGUCCUCAUCACUUCAAAUGAUUUCAGAAUUACUUUAUCGUUUUUCUUGGCAUUUUACGAAAUUUACAGUCAAUACAUGAUCAUAAACAAAAUUUUCGUUUCUUUCUCUUUCUUGAUUGGCAAGUUUGUUUACCAAAGAUCUUUGAAAUGAUACUCUAAUUGUGCCUGUUUUUGGUAAGAUGUUAUAAUCUAUGUAUGUUACAGAACGUAUGGAUGGUACUUUUGAUUCCUAAGAAAUGUGGGGAUAAAAGGUACUUUUGACGAGAAGUUAUAAUUGUUUACCUAAAAAACACCUAACCAUGUUCCCGCCUGUUCUUAUGUUACCUGCAUUUGACGAUUGGGCUCUUUCUUUGCAACUUCAUCUUAUAGACAUUUAU
RNAcentral lists this long non-coding RNA (4555 nucleotides) under Olea europaea (common olive). Its description in RNAcentral is "long non-coding RNA (OEUR_LNC011337)". Lineage: Eukaryota; Viridiplantae; Streptophyta; Magnoliopsida; Lamiales; Oleaceae. The record is from RNAcentral.